Long non-coding RNA from Onychostoma macrolepis, 1083 nucleotides. RefSeq lists it as uncharacterized. The record is from RefSeq and is a predicted model, not a curated record. The transcript has 2 exons. NCBI's taxonomy places the organism in Eukaryota, Metazoa, Chordata, Actinopteri, Cypriniformes, Cyprinidae.
UUCAUCGCCUAUAGCUCUGGUCAGCUCGGACUAAUCCAAGAAACACCAGCGUAACAUUUCAAGGGAAGGGUCCACUCUUCAAAAUGCAUCCCACUUUUUAAUCCAAAACAACGAAAAAAUAGGGGAAAAAACGAAAGAUCCUCCUUUGUUUACAUCGGCGAUUCGAGUUAUAGUUAUCGACAGCGUCCGUUUUCGAAGAAAUAUCGAUUCUAAUUCGUGUUCUAGCUUUCAAACACCGUCUAUAUCAGGUAGAAUAGUUUCUUCCGAGUAAAAAGAGCCCUCCCUCGUCUCUCUCCUUCAAUCACAGGCGAUGUUAUAACCCUGAACAGACAGGGAGUCAGUGACUGGUUCAGCGAGGUGUCAAUCUGCGCACAUCAGAAAUGGGUGUUUGAAGCCAGCCAAUGCCUAGCCAGCACGGUUUUGAUGGAUGGAAGUGUUAGCCAACCAUAAGGACGUUUACAAUGAUUGACAGUUUGCAUAGUUUGCGUAACCAUGUUUACAGAAUAGCUCUGCGCAAAGUUCGUGUGCAUUCGUGCGCUCUCGGUUUACGCACGUAGCGUAGCACAGAGCGGCGCCGCGGCGCUACACGGAGUGUUUAUCAGCGAGCAGAUGCUCUCCGAAGCUUGCAUCUGAGUCUCUCCAUCACGGAUCCACGACUUUAGAAGUGUUUUUGUGGCGUUUGAUGGUGUUUUGGAGGACGUGCUGAGAAGUUUCGGCGAUGAGAGCAGCCGAAAGACACGCACGACAUGGACGAGAUGCACCACAGCCAGAGAUAGCAUUAGCACUGGGUUUGCUGCAUCCAGCUGGUCAGAGAACAAACCUUCUUAGUGGCUGCCUUGAGUGUCUUCCUACACAGUAAAUACUGUAAACAGUUGCUUUAGUUUUUCAGUAACAUUAUUUAUGUAUUACUAUAUUAGUAAUAUUAAUAAUAUUUAGCAGAUCUUUUUUUUUAUAUAAAUUACAAAUGUUGUAAAAUCAUUUUUUGUGUUUUCAUUAGUUCAAAAAUGAUCAAAUCUGUUUUGGUUCACUGUUUUCAUUAUUAGAAUUGUUCAAAAUAAAGACCGUUUAGUUCAAAUGUUCAAA